GCCUAUGCCACAGCCUUAGCAACACAAGAUCCGAGCCGAGUUUGUGAUCUACACCACAGCUCUUGGCAACGCCAGAUCCUUAACCCACUGGGCAAGGCCAGGGAUUGAACCUGCAUCUUCAUGGAUCUUAGAUUCAGUAACCAUUGAGCCACGAUGGGAACUCCUGAAUAUAAGUUAUUUUGAGAGUAAAAUAAAUCUAAGAAUAAGACAUAGCGACAUAUAUUUCAUUUCUUUAAAGUUACUAUCACCUAAUAUCUAUACCUCGCAUUCUGAUAUAACUGAGCAUUCCGGUUUAUAUUCAUUUUCCCCAAAUAUGUAGCAAGAUACUUUAUACACUAAUUACUUAUAUAAGACUUAUAUUAUCUUCCUUAAAGCCAAGGAAAACUUUCUAAUUGCUACCAUUUUCUAAAUAUUUAUCUUGGAGUUCCUGUUGUGGCACAGUGGAAUCGAAUCCAAGUAGGAACCAUGAGGUUGUGGGUUCGAUCCCUGGCCUCACUCAGUGGGUUAAGGAUCUGGCGUUGCUGUGAGCUGUGGUGUAGGAGGUUAAGAGUCCAGUGUUGUCUCUGCAGCACCUCAGGUCACUGCUGAGGCUCAGGUCUGAUCCCCGGCCCAAUGCAGUGGGUGUGGCUGCAUCUGGGGUGUAGGUUGCAGUGGUGACUUGGAUUCUAUCCCUGGCCUGGGAACAUCCCUAGGCCAUGGGUGUGGCCCCCCAAAAGAAGUACUUAUUUUACAUCCCAGUGGUGCCUAGCACAACUCAGAUGUGUUACAGCAACUCCUUUUAUUAAGCUGAGAUGGAUCCUUUUCAGCCACCUGAGCCUGUGUCUUAGCAUUGAGGUGUUCCUGUCAGUGGAACAUCUGAAACUGGCAGUCCCAGCUUGUCUCAGGUACUUCAGGUACUGCAGAUAACCUGCAGGCAAACAUCUACUUUUAUUCUUUUUGACCUCAGAGAAUAUCUUUUUCAAAGAAGUUAGAGCACUUUACUAUUUUUUCCUACUUAAUCCCUGGAAGGAGCACAGAGGUAAAAACCACAUCCUUAUCCAUCAAGUGGACAAAGAGACAAAUGACUCACCCAGAUUACACAGUGAAUUAGUGAAGGAGCCAGAACGACACCAAGCUGGCCGUCAACUUCUAGUUCAGCUUCUAACACACAAGAUCAGCAGUUCCUCAUCAUUUUGUGUUCAUAGUGUACAAUUUGGGUACUGGAUUUUUUGGCAAUAUAUUUGAAAGGAUUAAAAGACUCAACACAACAGCAAAGUCAACAAUAAUAAAAAUGCAGGCACUAUUAUAAUAAGACAAAGUCUCACAGCACGCAUCUGGUGGCCUUUGGUCCUGCAUCAAUGAGCAGGACAGUUCUCCCUGUCCUGACUGGUUGCUCAUCAGGCUAAUUCUCUCAUGUGCCAGGAAACACAAGCUCUGCACCAGUCUCUUACCCCCUUACUGCUACCAACUUGCAUCCUACUCUAGGACACACAUGUGACUUUCUCAGGCCCAAGGUCAACCUGACAUCACUAUAAUGAUAUUACUUAGAAAAACUGCAUAUUACGCACCAGUCAAAAGUUGGUGGCAUACCAGUGUGUUAGAUGUGCAAGAAAAGCCAGCCUGCCUGCCUUCAGGAAAGCCAAGCUGCCUCCUCAACUAAGAGGUCAACUUGAAUUUAGUGGUUAAUUAAUACUUUAAUGCAACAUCAUCAGGAAAUAAGCAAUUGACAAUCAGUGCCAAAGGCACUCAUUAAAGACUACAUCCUCCUGUGUCACAUCAGAAUGACAGCCUAUCUGAUAGCCAGGAAGAGACAACUGACCUCAUCUAAGGAAGUCAAAGCUGGAAAGGCACUAUACCUCCCAAAAAAGCUUACUGAAGAAAAAAGGCUAUUUAAGUCUGAUUUGAGUGGUAAGAACUUCAGGUGUGGUUAAGAGACAAAAGGAAAACUAAAUACGUGAUAACUUGCAUUUUUAUAACAUAUUGCUCUGACACGCUAAGUAGUCUAUUGAUCUCUCUGGGUAAAUAAAGCCUUGUAAUAGAACAACAAAGUUAAUUACUUUCUUGUUACCUGUGGGGGAAAUUGUGACAGACAGAUGUAAUGAUCAUGGGUAAGAAAUCAGAUACAACCUAGGAUACAGUAAUUCUGAAAAGACAUGAAAAUAAUAAUUAAGGAGUUCCUAUUGUGGCUCAGCAGGUUAAGGGACCUGACAUUGUCUCUGUGAGGAUUCAGGUUAAAUCCCUGGCCUCCCUCAGUGGGUUAAGGAUCCGACAUUCCCGCAAGCUGUGAUAGGUCACAGAUGCAGCUCGGAUCCCGGUUGCUGUGGCUGUAGUGUAGGCCAGCAGCUGCAGCUCUGAUUCAAUCCCAAGCCUGGAAACUUCCAUAUAUUGAAGGUGCAGCCAUUAAAAAAAAAAACAAAUUGAACCUGAAGGUUAAUUUAGUAUUUUCUGUUAAAAACUUCUAGCAUUUGGAGUUCCCGUCAUGGAGCAGAGGAAACAAAUCCAACUAGGAACCAUGAGGUCGUGGGUUUGAUCCCUGCCCUCGGUCAGUGGGUUGAGGAUCCAGCGUUGCCGUGAGCUGUGGUAUAGGUCGCACACGCAGCUCAGAUCUGGUGUUGCUGUGGCUGUGGGCCAGCGGCUGUACCUCUGAUUAGACCCCUAGCCUGGGAACCUCCAUAUGCCUCGGGUGAGGCCCUUAAAAGACAACAACAACAACAACAAAAAUUUCUAGCGCUUAUAUGUAGCAUAGGGCCUAGAAAAGUGCAGCACUCAAGGAAUAUAUUCCACUGAAAUUUAUUACAUACUAACUUGAAAACAGGACUAUAUUAUCUAUCUGAAUAGCAAUGAGUCCAGUUUUUGUAUUUUUCCUGUGAUUACUUUCAUAAUGAGGUUAAUAAACAUUAGAAUCACUAGGGGAAAACAGUUUCCAAUGAACAAGAGAAUAAAUGAACAAAUAAUUUCUCUGAGGUACGAGACUGAUAUGAACAGAACAGAUCCAUUCACAUACUUCUCAAAUAAAAAGAAAGACUCUCAUUUCUACCCCCAAUCCCACUCUUUGUUCUAAUGUAGCUAUACUGUCUGUUGGACAGAGAGGGAAAAACCCUACAAGGGAUUAGUACACAUUCUAGAUUUUUCCCUAUGCCUAGCAGAUAAGAUUAGGCUCAAGGAGAGAAAUACAGUGCUGGUUCACCAAGGACAAUUAAUCCCUAUCUAUCUUCUUCUAAGGGUGUCAUGGAAAUGAUCUCGAGCACAAGAAAGAUGAGCAAAAGCAAAAGUCAAGAAAGUAGAGCUGAGAAAUGGAAAUGUGAAGGCUCAGCUUGAGAAGGUCCACGGGUAGCUACAGGCUAAGGAGGAUGACCACACUACAUUCCCACAGGACCAACCUGAGAACCUGGAGGGGAGUGAGGAGAAGAGAAAACAAGUGGGAUGGACUGAAUACAUUCUGAAAUGGAAAAGUCUUAUCAACAGCAAGAAUUUAAAUAUAAUACAUAAAUAAAUCAUAAAGUAUUUUAGGUGCUUCUGAAAGUGAAACAGCAACCCAACUAACUUUAAAGCCUAGUCAAUCUAACUAACAGGCAGCCUCCAGGGCCUAAUGAGAGGUAUAAUUUGGAAUACAAAGGAUUAGUUAUGAUUUUAAAAAUUCAAACCUUUGGCUUCUUCAUUUUUGUCUUUUCAGGGCUUCAUCGGUGGCACAAAGAAGAUUCCAGGCUAGGGGUCAAAUUGGAGCUGCAGCUGCCAGCCUACGCUACCACCACAAGGAUCUGAGGCUUGUCUCAGAUCUAUACCACAGUUCACGGCAACGCUGGAUCCCUGACCCACUGAGUGAGGCCAGGAUCAAACCCAUGACCUCAUAGAUACUAGUCGGGUUCGUUACCGCUGAGCCAUGAUGGCAAUUCCAAACCUUUAGCUCCUUGCAAAAAAGCAGUUACGUGACUCCUUGAUAUUUCCUAAUGUUCAACAUUUAGGAACAACAAAGCCAAUGGAGAAUAUAAGCAAAAUAUUCUAAUGUCCAGGUCCUAGGUUGAGAAGGGAAUGGGGAGGCACACAUUUCUCUGGGAGUUCUCUCAAUCUCACCUUUGCAGUAUGCUUUGGUUGAAUCUACUUACGCAUGCAAACACAUAUAAUAAUCCCCUCCCAUCACAGACUGCCCAAUAAAGAAAUGAAAAAGAAAGAUAUAAGAGAAGCUCUGGGGAUAAUUCAAUUUGUCAAAAUUAGAAGAUCUAAGAACUCAAAUUCCAACAUUUUCCUUUAGAGACAGGGCCCCUGAGGCCAUUUCCAGUUUGAUAGUUUGUUUCAGUUAUACUCCCCACACAAAAGUAAUGAGUCAUGCAAAAUUGUAAAAUGUGAAAUAGUCCAAUUGUAACCAACACUGCUUAGCUCUUGCUCUAAGAAUCCCAUAAUUUCCUGCCUUAUCCCUAUCACUUUUACUUUAAGGUCCCGGAUCUGGAGUGAGGUAGAACAGGCAAGAGUGGCAUCCAAAAUGAGGAAGGCAAAGAAAGCAGGUAUCUUUAAAUACAGCAUAUCCCCAAUCACCAGGACAAAGAUUAUUUUUUUCAGGAUUUCCAAACUCUAACAGUUUUUCUUCAGGUGUCUAAAAAAAGCACUGUCUCUCCCUAGCUGUAUUAGCCUUUCAGGAAAAAGUCCCUCUCCAAUGUAGGAGAGACACUAGUAACACAAGGAAAAGGGAGACAACUAUACUUCAUACCUGAAAAUAAAGGCUAACAAAAAAAUCUUCACUAACCAACACGAAAACACUGUGUACCUGUAAAUAAUGGCAGAAAGGGACAAAAGGUAGACAUGAAGUUGAGGGUUAUAAACAGCCAGUCUGCUUCUCCUUCACCACUGUAACCUCCAAUUCCACGGCCAAUUCCUCCCAGUGGCAGUUUCAGACUUUCUACAAAUGAGCCUUAGGGUUGGCAGUUUAAUGAGUGGGGUGGGGACAGGUUAGGUCCUGAAGCUGCCAUCAAAGCAAGAUCAUAAUUUUCACUUAUAUUUACUUAUAUAUGGAAUAUUUUUAGGGGUGGCUUGUGUUGCAUAAUAGUGGCACAGAUGUAUCUAAGGAUUCCCAAGCUAACCUGUCGUGAGACAUGUUUCUACAAUAUUUUCUUAGCCUCUUUGCUGAAAACUCCAUCUUGUCCUGCUUUACUUUACCCCAUCUUCCUGCUUGAAACACAGUCACAGUGCUGGUCAAUGACUUAAGUUUAAGAACAAAGACCUAAAGGCAUAAUUUAUUCACAGGGUCAGCUGAAUGAGGACAUAAUGAGUUGGUGUAGCCGGUGCAGAUAGGCACGCCGCACAAGCAUGAUAUGUCCUCUAAAGAAUAAGAGAAAGAGGAACCUCAUGGCCCCAAGUGGUUUAUGAGGGGUCAUUAGCAGAAUAUGCAUCAGCAAAGAGAACCAAGGUGCAAAGCUAGGCACCCUGGGUUGCUGCAGAUAGGCAUGCCCAUGCGUUUGCGGAAGCACAGUGAGGAUUCUCUAGAUGCUAUGCAUAGAUAGCUAGAAGCCAAGCUUCCUCAAAUGCUAAUGACUGUUGAAUGCCUAAAGGUCAGAGUAAAAGCUUAACCAUCUACCAGCUACGUGACCUUUAAAACAACUUUAAAAAACCUAUAUCCUGCACCUGCAACCCCUUCCUCACUUGACGUAAUCCUCAAGAGCACAAUAAAAGCAGUGUGGUUUCUUGAGGCAAUACUCUUGGUCCCUGAGACCUUGAAUCUCCCAGUUCCCACAUUUACUUAGGAUAAACGUCUCUGUGUCUUGUUUUCUGUUAACUUUUUUCCUUAAGUUUCUUCAGCCCCAACCUGCUGAGCUGGUCUCGGCACUAAGCCUGGGUGCUCAUUGCUCCCAUCCCACUAGGACCUUAAAAUUCUUCCUCAGUAAGACAAAGAUCUGAACAGCUGGAAACUUCUUUAGAGCAGGUGUUCUUAAGCUGUCACUGCAGUCUCUCUACCUUGGAACAUGAGAGUGGAGAAAUCGGGCAUUUGAAACAGCUUAUUUCAAGUCUGCUUUGAUAUGUUCAGUUUUAAUUAGUUUACCUAACAGGCAAUAUAACAUUUCACCACUUUCCCCUAGUCAUCUCACUUCAACAGAAUCAAUGAAGAUAUUUAGACCAAAAAACACUUUGUGGCUUUUACAAGCUAUCAGUUAGAUCUUAUGUUAGCUGUAUUUGUUUUACCUUAAAGAAAGUCAAGUUGAAAUUUGGUGAACCACGAUAGAUAAAGAUAAAGGUAGGAGAGAAGGGGACCCAAAGAGCAAAGGCAGAAGAACGGAAGGAUACUGGCUGAGCGCCACCACUACACACUCUACCAGGGAUUCUCUCUUACCAGGAAGUAAGAGAUAAGCUCUAGUAGUCUACCUCUUUAAACAGUCUCUGCAUUUCCAUUCGCAGCACUAUUCUUCCUUUCCAAGGCAUACCACUGCUCCAUCUCCUCUUGGGAGCGGAAUCUAUAUUCCCCCCCAUCCCAGGCUAAGCUACUUCUCUUCACUUUCUAGUAGCAAACAUGGCUACACAUACAUUACAAGGCAGCAGCUUUCUUUCUGCCUCACAGUCAUUUCAUGAUCUUGGCUAAGCUUUGAGGCAGAGCAAGAGAUAUUCGGAAAGGCACACUAAACUAUUGCGUGUCUUGAGUUGAGUGAUGUAGUUCUUGUGACAGCCAGUUUAAAUCUUCAAUGAUAAGUAUACAUGUUUCAUGUGCACAGGCCUUGCUAUUUGGAAUCCAAGAGCCUGUGCAAAAUUCAGAGUUCACCAACAGCAGAGCCUGCAUCCCAUCAGUCAUGGAGAUGGCUCUAAACAUCAAGGAUGUCCUAAAAGAAUGUCAAGUGCAUAUUAAAUCUGUCUCUAUGUGCCCUGCGGCCCAAUCCAUGCAUUCACAUUUGGAACCCAUAAAAUAGUUUUUAACCUAUCUCAUCAAUAAGGCCAAGCAAAAGCUAAGUCUCGUGCUUGAGAGGAACCAAAUUCUGGCUUCUCUCAACCACUGCUAGAAGAAAGCACAAUGUGCUACAGUGAUUGGGCACACAAAGAUCCCUUGCCUUAGUUUUCUGGAACUUUUCUUUCAAUUAGUUAAAGGAGCUAUGGAUUAUAAAUGAUGCCAUGGGUACAGGUUCACUUACAGCCAAUUUAGUAAGUGCUUGCACAGUUAAUUCUGUCAAUCUUACUCCUACACAGAAAUACAUGUGGCCCCACGGGGCCCAACCACCCACAGAGCUCUUUUGCACAUCUUUUUACCCUCCAGCACACAGAAAUAGAGGGCUACAUCCCAGAAAACAGAGAAAGAGAAAAGGUAGUUUCUCUGAAACGGUAUGUCUAGAAAACAAGGAUCCAGCUUCCCAUUUGGAUUUAAUUUCUAAAUUCAAGUCUCUCUGAAUAAACCAAAUCAUGAUUUAAACCAAGACCUUACUCUGGAGUUCCAAGUCUAUACAUCUAUAAUCCUUGGUAUGCUUAAACUUCCCUUUCAUGUAUAUGUAAGGGCACUUUAAAAAGUAGUUUGUUUGGAGUGAGUUACCAGGCUACCUCAGAUCUCAAAAAUCUAUCUCACUGUGGUAAAAUGUUAUAGUAAGGGCCUCGAAUGAUUUAAGUCUCCCUGUGCCCAGAGAGUCCCCCUCUGACUCUGGGCUCAGCCAUGUGGUUUGUGUUGGCUGAUAGGACAGUAACAAAAGUAACAAAGGCAGAGACUUGCUAAGUGCCUCCGUUUGGGGGCCUAACCUCAUAUUUCUCUUUGGAAGCCUGAGACACUAAAUGAAGAAACUGAUGGGAAAAAAAAAAAAAAAAAAAAAAAAAA
This 7750-nucleotide long non-coding RNA is filed under the name Sus scrofa (pig). RNAcentral's name for it is "lncRNA (ENSSSCG00025025779.1)". The record is from RNAcentral. Lineage: Eukaryota; Metazoa; Chordata; Mammalia; Artiodactyla; Suidae.